UACGUAGGGUGCAAGCGUUAAUCGGAAUUACUGGGCGUAAAGCGUGCGCAGGCGGUUAUGUAAGACAGGUGUGAAAUCCCCGGGCUUAACCUGGGAACUGCAUUUGUGACUGCAUAGCUAGAGUACGGUAGAGGGGGGAUGGAAUUCCGCGUGUAGCAGCGAAAUGCGUAGAUAUGCGGAGGAACACCGAUGGCGAAGGCAAUCCCCUGGACCUGUACUGACGCUCAUGCACGAAAGCGUGGGGAGCAAACAGGAUUA
This 258-nucleotide ribosomal RNA is filed under the name uncultured bacterium. RNAcentral's name for it is "partial 16S ribosomal RNA". It matches the Rfam family "Bacterial small subunit ribosomal RNA", at positions 524 to 780 of the family's 1533-position model. The record is from RNAcentral.